CCUACGGGAGGCAGCAGUGAGGAAUUUUCCGCAAUGGGCUAACGCCUGACGGAGCAAUGCCGCGUGGAGGAGGAAGGCCUGUGGGUCGUAAACUCCUUUUCUCAGAGAAGAAGAUCUGACGGUAUCUGAGGAAUAAGCAUCGGCUAACUCUGUGCCAGCAGCCGCGGUAAUACAGGGGAUGCAAGCGUUAUCCGGAAUUAUUGGGCGUAAAGCGUCCUGAGGUGGCUUACCCAGUCGACUGUGAAAGCUCAAGGCUCAACCUUGAAACGGCAGUCGAAACUUGUAAGCUUGAGUACGGUAGAGGCAGAGGGAAUUCCCGGAGGAGAGGAGAAAUUCGUAGAUAUCGGGAGGAAGGCCAAAGGCGAAAGCACUCUGCUGGGCCGAUUACUGACACUGACAGACGAAAGCUAGGGGAGCGAAAGGGAUUAGAUACCCUGUAGUCCUAGCCGUAAACGAUGGAUACUAAGUGUUGCGCGACUCAACUCGUGCAGUGCUGCAGCUAACGCGUAAGUAUCCGCCUGGGGAGUAUGCUCGCAAGAGUGAAACUCAAAGGAAUUGACGGCGNGAGAGNGCGACGACGACGACGAGGAGGAGG
Molecule: ribosomal RNA, 595 nt
Filed under: uncultured bacterium
Lineage: Bacteria
Description: bacterial SSU rRNA
Rfam family: Bacterial small subunit ribosomal RNA
Source: RNAcentral